UCGUGUGCUCGAUGUCUACGUGUGUUACUUGUACAGAGCAGGACACCAAAGACUAUUGGAUUCUACUAAGCGAUACGUCACAGAGAAGCUGCUGAUAGAGGGAGGGAAGCCUCAGAGGAAGCCACCCACCUCCGUGCUUUCCCUGACUCUGCCAUGUGCCCGGUGUUCACCUGCUUCUUGGUUCUUUGCCUCCUGGCCGCAGGUUCUGGUGGUGAAGAAGUCACCCAGACUCCAGGACAUCUGCUCAGAGGGAAGGGACAGAAAGUGAAAAUGUAUUGUGUCCCAGUAGAAGGACACCGUUAUGUUUUCUGGUAUCAACAGAUCCUGGAAAAGGAGUUCAAAUUCUUGAUUUCCUUCCAGGAUAAAGAGGUCUAUGAAGAAACAGAGAUGCUUAAGCAGAGGUUUUCAGCUGAGUGCCUCCAAAACUCAUCCUGUAGCCUGGAGAUCCACACUGCAGAGCUGCAGGAUUCAGCUGUGUAUCUUUGUGCCAGCAGCAAAGCCACAGUGUGAAACAUUAGCUAAUCUUAGUGCACAAACUCAUCAUGGACCCAGCUCAGGAAGCAGGGGGCAUAGUGGGUUGGAAGGAAAUAGCAGAAGCUAAAUAGAGCUAGCCUAAGCCAAAGAGUAAGUUAGUGGUUACAUCUGCUCUUGUCUCAGUACGUGCUGAACCCAGUUGUCUU
This is a non-coding RNA of Lemur catta (Ring-tailed lemur), 680 nucleotides long. NCBI's taxonomy places the organism in Eukaryota, Metazoa, Chordata, Mammalia, Primates, Lemuridae. The record is from the annotation of a RefSeq genome assembly.